This is a non-coding RNA of Pelobates cultripes (western spadefoot toad), 412 nucleotides long. The record is from the annotation of a GenBank genome assembly. Lineage: Eukaryota; Metazoa; Chordata; Amphibia; Anura; Pelobatidae.
UUUUUUUUUUUUUUUUAAAUAGUUUAAAAAUGAGCUUCAGAAAUACCUGAUUUAAUCUUAACUUUGAUCAUAUUCUGUGCCCCUUCUCUUAAUUGUGUGUCAUAUCUCCCUGCUUCCUGUAUUUCAGUCAGACUGUCCACCAAUGGCCAUGCUCCAGUGAUUCUCUGUGAGAAUCAACAGUGAUCAAAGGCAGCGGAAAGAUCAAGGAGAAUUAGGAUAGAGUAAUGGCCACAAGAUUUAGCAGAAAUUAAAUAGUUGGAUACUUUAAUCACAGCUGUUUUGACAGAAUGACCAGCACGGAAUCCAGACUGAAGGGGGUCAAGCAGAGAGUUGGAUUUGAGAAAGUCAGUCAGUCUGGUGUACACAACUCUCUCGAGGAUCUUGGAGGCAAAUGGCAGUAGCAAUAUAGGGC